RNAcentral lists this ribosomal RNA (687 nucleotides) under uncultured ciliate. RNAcentral's name for it is "SSU rRNA". It matches the Rfam family "Eukaryotic small subunit ribosomal RNA", at positions 320 to 1019 of the family's 1831-position model. Lineage: Eukaryota; Ciliophora. The record is from RNAcentral.
UCUGGAUGGUAGUGUAUUGGACUACCAUGGCAGUCACGGGUAACGGAGAAUUAGGGUUCGGUUCCGGAGAGGGAGCCUGAGAAACGGCUACUACAUCUAAGGAAGGCAGCAGGCGCGUAAAUUGCCCAAUCCUGAUUCAGGGAGGUAGUGACAAGAAAUAACAACCUGGGGGACUUCUGUCCUUACGGGAUUGCAAUGAGAACAAUUUAAACGACUUAUCGAGGAACAAUUGGAGGGCAAGUCUGGUGCCAGCAGCCGCGGUAAUUCCAGCUCCAAUAGCGUAUAUUAAAGUUGUUGCAGUUAAAAAGCUCGUAGUUGAAAUUCUGUGUAUGCCCGAUCCUGGCUUCGGUCAAAUCGUGGUGUGCACAUCCGCUUGCAAACCUACAACGGCCUUCAUUGAUCGUGUAGGGGAGUAGGCUUUUUACUUUGAAAAAAUUAGAGUGUUUCAAGCAGGCAAUGGCUCGAAUACAUAAGCAUGGAAUAAUGGAAUAGGACUUUUGUCCAUUUGGUUGGUUAUUGGACAUCAGUAAUGAUUAACAGGGACAGUUGGGGAUAUUAGUAUUUAAUUGUCAGAGGUGAAAUUCUUGGAUUUAUUAAAGACUAACUUAUGCGAAAGCUAUUUAUCAAGGAUGUUUUCAUUAAUCAAGAACGAAAGUUAGGGGAUCAAAGAACGAAUCAGAUACCGUC